CUAUACCUCAAGCCCGGCUUGUAUGUUGGGCCCACUGUCUUGUUAGACAGUAGCCCCAAAGGCAGAGGCAGGGUCGUAGUCCGGUCUUUUCAAUGCGUAUGGGGCAUUGUCAUCCGCUUGAAGGCUGGCCGACCCUUUAUGCCUAUCGUGGAUUUUAUCCACCAUCAAUUUUUCCUGA
Molecule: unclassified non-coding RNA, 178 nt
Filed under: uncultured Eurotiales
Lineage: Eukaryota; Fungi; Ascomycota; Eurotiomycetes; Eurotiales
Description: sequence contains ITS2
Source: RNAcentral